Haliotis rubra (blacklip abalone) is the source of this 96-nucleotide long non-coding RNA. RefSeq lists it as uncharacterized. NCBI's taxonomy places the organism in Eukaryota, Metazoa, Mollusca, Gastropoda, Lepetellida, Haliotidae. The record is from RefSeq and is a predicted model, not a curated record. The transcript is spliced from 3 exons.
CGAGUUUGGACCAGACAAUCCAGUGAUCAACAGCAAGAGCAUCGAUGUACUGCAGUUGGGAUACAACAUGUCAACUAAGUCUGCGAGCCUGACCAC